Sorex araneus (European shrew) is the source of this 107-nucleotide small nuclear RNA. Lineage: Eukaryota; Metazoa; Chordata; Mammalia; Eulipotyphla; Soricidae. The record is from Ensembl.
AUACCCAUUUUGCCAGCAUUUAUACUGAACUUGGAAUGACACAGGGAAGAUGAGCAUGGCCCCUGAGCAGGUUCAUAAAGCAUGUUCAUGAAGCACACACAGAUUCA